RNAcentral lists this ribosomal RNA (426 nucleotides) under uncultured bacterium. Its description in RNAcentral is "bacterial SSU rRNA". It matches the Rfam family "Bacterial small subunit ribosomal RNA", at positions 354 to 796 of the family's 1533-position model. The record is from RNAcentral.
GUGAGGAAUUUUCCGCAAUGGGCGAAAGCCUGACGGAGCAAUGCCGCGUGAAGGAUGAAGGCCUAUGGGUUGUAAACUUCUUUUCUCAGAAAAGAAUUAUGACGGUAUCUGAGGAAUAAGCAUCGGCUAACUCUGUGCCAGCAGCCGCGGUAAGACAGAGGAUGCAAGCGUUAUCCGGAAUGAUUGGGCGUAAAGCGUCUGUAGGUUGUUUAAAAAGUAUUCUGUCAAAGAUUAGGGCUUAACCCUAGAUAGGCAGAAUAAACUUUUAAGCUAGAGUUUGGUAGAGGCAGAGGGAAUUCCCGGUGGAGCGCUGAAAUGCGUAGAUAUCGGGAGGAACACCAAAGGCGAAGGCACUCUGCUGGGCCAAUACUAACACUGAGAGACGAAAGCGAGGGGAGCAAAUGGGAUUAGAUACCCCGGUAGUCC